UUAGAGGAAGUAAAAGUCGUAACAAGGUUUCCGUAGGUGAACCUGCGGAAGGAUCAUUAUCGUGACAGACACGUGCGAGGUGCUUCGAAGGCUGUCGCUGACUCGAAAGGGUCGUGCACGCCGGAGGACGUCCUCUCACGUGAAAUCCAUCUCACCCUUUGUGCACCACCGCGUGGGUUCCCUUUUCCUUGAGAAAGGGGGGCUCGCGUUUUCACACAAACCCCUUUGUAACAAGUGUAGAAUGAUCGAUGUACACGUACAUACAAUACAACUUUCAACAACGGAUCUCUUGGCUCUCGCAUCGAUGAAGAACGCAGCGAAAUGCGAUACGUAAUGUGAAUUGCAGAAUUCAGUGAAUCAUCGAAUCUUUGAACGCACCUUGCGCCCCUUGGUAUUCCGAGGGGCACACCCGUUUGAGUGUCGUGAAAAUCUCAACCUCCUCUGUUUUUAGAGGAGGCUUGGACUUUGGAGGCCUCUGCUGGACCGAAAGGGUCAGCUCCUCUCAAAUGCAUUAGCGGGGUCCCCUUUGCCAAUCCUCGACGUGUGAUAAGAUGCUUCCACGCCUUGGGUCUUCUUUUGGCUCUGCGUCGGGACCUGCUUCCAAUCGUCUCUUCAACGAGACAAUAAUGUUUGAGCGCACCUCGGCCACGCGACACCCCCUAGACCUCAAAUCGUCUGAGGUCAUUUAGAGGAAGUAAGCAUAUCAAUAAGCGGAGGAAAAGAAACUAACAAGGAUUCCCCUAGUAACUGCGAGUGAAGCGGGAAAAGCUCAAAUUUAAAAUCUGGUGGCCCUUGGCCGUCCGAGUGUAAUAGAGAG
Molecule: small RNA, 817 nt
Filed under: Lactarius saponaceus
Lineage: Eukaryota; Fungi; Basidiomycota; Agaricomycetes; Russulales; Russulaceae
Description: eukaryotic LSU rRNA
Rfam family: 5.8S ribosomal RNA (bases 270-423)
Source: RNAcentral